This 429-nucleotide ribosomal RNA is filed under the name bacterium. RNAcentral describes it as "partial 16S ribosomal RNA". It matches the Rfam family "Bacterial small subunit ribosomal RNA", at positions 355 to 776 of the family's 1533-position model. The record is from RNAcentral.
UAGGGAAUCUUCGGCAAUGGGGGCAACCCUGACCGAGCAACGCCGCGUGAGUGAAGAAGGUUUUCGGAUCGUAAAGCUCUGUUGUAAGAGAAGAACGUGUGUGAGAGUGGAAAGUUCACACAGUGACGGUAACUUACCAGAAAGGGACGGCUAACUACGUGCCAGCAGCCGCGGUAAUACGUAGGUCCCGAGCGUUGUCCGGAUUUAUUGGGCGUAAAGCGAGCGCAGGCGGUUUAAUAAGUCUGAAGUUAAAGGCAGUGGCUUAACCAUUGUUCGCUUUGGAAACUGUUAAACUUGAGUGCAGAAGGGGAGAGUGGAAUUCCAUGUGUAGCUGAGAAAUGCGUAGAUAUAUGGAGGAACACCGGUGGCGAAAGCGGCUCUCUGGUCUGUAACUGACGCUGAGGCUCGAAAGCGUGGGGAGCAAACAGG